Molecule: long non-coding RNA, 1105 nt
Organism: Cyprinus carpio carpio
Lineage: Eukaryota; Metazoa; Chordata; Actinopteri; Cypriniformes; Cyprinidae
Source: Ensembl
GUUGUGUUUACUAAUCGGCAGGCGGUUGAGGCCUACUCUUCCCUUGAAAAAAAAAAAAAAGCUUCUCUCUGGUAAAUAAAUAAUGUUGCACUGGAAUAGUUUAGCAGAGUUUUAUUGUACAUAAACCUUGUUCAGCAUCUUCACAUGUAACACAGCGUAAUGACACUAACAUCUUGAAGGAUUUCUGGGCAGUGGAGUGUUAAACGGCCCCGGCAAGAGUGGCUCCCCCCACACACACUCACUGCCAGCCGAACCAAAUUGUACUUUAACUCCAGGAAAGAUGAAAUGCUGCCUCUCAUGAGGGUUGCUGUCUAUCCGGCAUCUCGCCGACAUUUAUGGAAGAAGAACUCGCCGUUGCAUGGCUUCCGCUCGACUGACAAGCUCUGAAAAAAGCAAAGACAUGAAAGACAUGAAUGAUACCUUAAAUCAUGUGGCUUGUUGAAGACAGAUGAAUGAAAAUCCUUCAUCCUCAGAACGACAUGAGGAUGCCGAAAAAUAGACUGAUGCAAAGUGGAGCCUGUCAAGCCAAUGAGGACAGAAGAUGAAGACAGGACCGCCGAAAUAAGGGAAACACUUCUGGCAGCGGGAAUUUCCUGAGAGUGCAUCGAGAGGAAGGCUGCAGCAUACGCCAGCCCAGAAUGCACCACAGGAAGUGUCUGCGAGACUCCAGAAGCAGAGGUCAAGGCCAGGGGUCAACGGGUGGCACGGCAGAGAUUUACGGCGAGAGAAAACCCAGCCCGUUCACAGCCUUCAUCCAUUUCCCAGGGAAAUUAGCCAUAAAGUCACCGUUUUCAUCUUUCAAGGUUUUGUCAUAAACCGUCAUCUUUCCCCAUCUUUGAUUUGAGCAAGAAAAAAAGGCACUAAAAGAUAAAAUAAGAACAACAAUAGACUAUAACAGAUCCUACUGUAUUCUUUUCAUCUCAAGUUAACCUCUCGUUUUACCGUCCGUUGUUUCCGACACGGACCACCCUAUUGUUUAAAGAUGCCUGUGUGAAAAAACAAAAAACGUUUCACAUUUUCUGAAAUGUGCAGGGCUGCUCUCUGAGGUCCAUUUCAUUUUAACCAAAUGGGGGGGAAGCUUGUCUUUACUGCGGUGAGCAGAUGG